Falco peregrinus (peregrine falcon) is the source of this 672-nucleotide long non-coding RNA. RefSeq lists it as uncharacterized. The record is from RefSeq and is a predicted model, not a curated record. The transcript has 4 exons. Lineage: Eukaryota; Metazoa; Chordata; Aves; Falconiformes; Falconidae.
CUGCUCGGUGGUGCUGACGUGCGGCGUGGCGUCACGCGCCGGCGUAGCUCCGCCCUCAGGCAUGGCGACGGUGGUGGCAGCUGUGGUGUGGUCUGGCGUGGCGCGGCCCAGCGCCAUCCGCCGCCAUCCGGGGCCGGGGCUGCUCCCAGGGACGGGGGGCGAACUGAGGUCUCUCUGCGACAGUGCGGCGGGAGGCGCUGCACUGCCAGCGGGCUCCGCCGCCGUGAGGCUCCUGCUCUGAUGCUCCAGAGGACACUCUUGGUACUCCGGAGGAUGGAUGUAGGAAGCUGCCAGGAAUGAGAAGGUUCCUGCUCCAAUGCUCUGGAGGGAUGUAGGAAGCCACUGGGAGUGAGGAGGCAGACAAGCAGCACCUGGCUGUGCAGGUGGAGGGAGGAGCUUCCACCGGAGCACGGGCAGAAGGCAGCACAGUGUGUCCCCCACAGGACUUCCACCGGGGCUUCGUGCCUGGGACCACGAUGCCGCAGCUGCAGGGGGGAACGACACCAGCGUGGGGACCAGCGUGACAGCGCUUCCGGCAGUGCAGCAAGAGCUCUGCCGAGUCCCGCUCAUGAUAUGAGGAGUGGCACAGAUUCAGCCCUGCUAAGAGCCACUGGUGUCGGUGGAUUCAGUAUUAACCCUUGACUUCCCCCCUUGUGACUCUAAACCUUUUUU